UACGUAGGGUGCGAGCGUUGUCCGGAAUUAUUGGGCGUAAAGGGCUCGUAGGCGGUCUGUCGCGUCGGGGGGGAAAACUCAGGGCUUAACCCUGAGCCUGCUUCCGAUACGGGCAGACUAGAGGUAUGCAGGGGAGAACGGAAUUCCUGGUGUAGCGGUGGAAUGCGCAGAUAUCAGGAGGAACACCGGUGGCGAAGGCGGUUCUCUGGGCAUUACCUGACGCUGAGGAGCGAAAGCGUGGGGAGCGAACAGG
RNAcentral lists this ribosomal RNA (253 nucleotides) under uncultured bacterium. RNAcentral describes it as "partial 16S ribosomal RNA". It matches the Rfam family "Bacterial small subunit ribosomal RNA", at positions 524 to 776 of the family's 1533-position model. The record is from RNAcentral.